RNAcentral lists this unclassified non-coding RNA (569 nucleotides) under Hevea brasiliensis (rubber tree). Lineage: Eukaryota; Viridiplantae; Streptophyta; Magnoliopsida; Malpighiales; Euphorbiaceae. The record is from RNAcentral.
AAUUAAAGGAUGCACUUGACAAACUAGUUACAACUUACAACUUACAAAAUCUCUAGUUAAUUACAACAUCGUCAACUCACAAGUGUUCCUACUUCUUCAUCUAUCACAGUAGUUCAUACUUCAGGAUGCUAUUGACAAAGUGUAACAGUUACAUUAUACACCAUACUUUAUUUCGUUAUGUACUUGUAUUGAACAUAUGAGUUAUAUGAAAGUGUAAUGCAGAAACAGAACAGCACGGUUUUGAUAUGUUACCUAGCCUUUCUUCCGCAAUGUAACCAAUUCCAUGGCGGCACCAUAUUUUCCAUGCAGGGCUUCUGCACACCAGCCAUGUCCGUCGUCAACGGUUGGCAUCUUGACUUCCAUGUAGGGAGUUGCAGGGUGUUGACCACCUGGGAGUGUUGCCCAAGCUAGAACUCUAAGCAUAUUUGAAGAGUCAAUGUCCAUACAAAUAGUGAUUUCAGGGAUUCCUUUGGGUGCAGGUGGAAUUCCAAUGAUCUUGAAAUAGCCAAGUAGUUGGUUUUCACAACUGUUCAAGACAAUCAAAGUGAAGCCCUGAUUGUUGUCUAUGA